Molecule: long non-coding RNA, 1427 nt
Filed under: Anser cygnoides (Swan goose)
Lineage: Eukaryota; Metazoa; Chordata; Aves; Anseriformes; Anatidae
Description: lncRNA (ENSACDG00005008558.1)
Source: RNAcentral
AGAUCCAGAUCAGGGUAUGAGGUGGGUGGGCAGUCCAUGCUGGUACAACCAGGAAAACUUGUACAUGUGGUGUACAUGAGGGGUUGGUGAGUGAAUACUUGUGUGCUUGCAGGAAACUUCCAGCCAGACUAGGCAGCAAGUACGUGACCCGUGAAGUGGGUAAGGGGCCUGGGAUCCAGGCAAGGAUUCUGGACACAGAGGCUGCACCUGUAUUUGAAGAAUCCAGGCAAGGAGCCCAGGAUGCAGGCAAGAGUGCUGAACAGACAGAGGGGGCAUGCUGGGUACUCAAAGGAUCCACACGUGUAUAGAAGGAAGGAAUCUGAUUCAACACGAAGCAGUAGAAAAUCUAAAUGUACUAUCUGAAGGCUACUGUCUCAAUAUAAGGACUUCGUGAGAGUUCAUUUAUAGGUUAGUAGAGAGGGGAGAGUAUCAUAUAAUCUAAAUCAGAUUGUUUAAAUAUCUGUUGUCUAAAUCUCAGCUUCAUUUCCUGGGAGCCCUUUACUGUCAAUGCAGAAAAGCCAACAGUUCUAAAGAAAAGUUUGUGUAUCCAGUCUUAGACAUCUGUAUAAGCAUGCAGUGAAUCACUUCUGUAGGCAUCUAUACUGGCUAUAAACAAAGUCUAGGGUGUCUAGAUAAUGCUUUUGUGUGCCAAAUGUGCAUAGAUUCAUAUAACGCUUAGUGCUUCUGCAGAAAAUAAGAAGCUUGGAUUCUUUCCUUUUUUUUUUUUCUUGAUUGCUUCUAAAAAUUAAUCUCUAGUUCUUCCAUGAGAGACAACACUAUGGAUAGCUAGAUAAGUCAAUUUAAAAUAUGUUAACUUGAAAGUCUGGAUAAAAUGAUGUCUUGCACUUACAAAGUGGAAAUCUGUAAUAUGUAGGGCUUGCAUAAAUGUAUGAAACUUGCUGACACCAGGCAUCUACUGUUGUUGCACUAGUGAGCAGUUUUGGCAGCAGCUACAAAAGCAACAGCUAAAGCCUCUUAUGCCAACUUCAUCAGCUUCAGGAACAAUUUGGAUGGAAAUAAGAAGAAAGAGGAAUAUGGCAAGAUUGCACAGCUUUUUCAGGAGGGACAUCACUUAGUGUAAUUUGGGUAUCUCAGAACAAGCAUGACUGGAUGAAGAAGCUCUAUGGACAUCCAGUUUGCAUAUAAGAAAGAUUUCUGUUUCUUGACAUACCAUAAGUCAGUAACCAGAAGAUACUAUUUUAUCAGCAUACCAGAUGUGUACCAUUAUUGCCCUGCUCUUUAGAAUUUGCUUGUCUCCAGGAAAUUAUUAAGGGUUUUAUUUGCCUGCCAGUCUUGGGGGAACAUUCAUACCUGUGCAAGUUGGCAUUAAAAAGCUACAUGAACAGAAAUAAUUCGGUGACAGAAAAUCAUCCAUGGAAUUAAAAAUUAAUAAUAAAUAAUUAAGGCAAAUUUAAUAUUGUUGUUAC